RNAcentral lists this long non-coding RNA (321 nucleotides) under Phoenix dactylifera (date palm). RNAcentral's name for it is "long non-coding RNA (PDAC_LNC018869)". The record is from RNAcentral. Lineage: Eukaryota; Viridiplantae; Streptophyta; Magnoliopsida; Arecales; Arecaceae.
UCCCCGCAAGUAAAAAGCAGACUUCCCGAGUCGUCCCCAAGAUAGCGGAGACGGCUCUCUCAGGGUUUUUCAGAGAAUGAUUUUUUUUUUUCGGUGAUAAGGCAGUAGAGACAUCCCCUGAAAGAGCGGAGUCGACUCUCUCAGGGAAUUCCAGAAGACAUGUUUUUCUGAGAUAAAGAAGCGGAGUCGUCCCCGAGGGAGCGGAGUCGUCCCCAUUCAAAAAGUGCAAACAAGCCGAGACAUCCCCGUAAAGUGCAGAGACGACCCUCUCAGCAAAUCAGAAAGGCAAGGAUUCAAACGGUACAAUUCCAGAGUCGUCCC